RNAcentral lists this unclassified non-coding RNA (352 nucleotides) under soil metagenome. RNAcentral describes it as "partial contains 5.8S ribosomal RNA, internal transcribed spacer 2, and large subunit ribosomal RNA". The stretch from base 1 to 120 matches the Rfam family "5.8S ribosomal RNA", at positions 35 to 154 of the family's 154-position model. The record is from RNAcentral.
GAUGAAGAACGCAGCAAAAUGCGAUAAGUAAUGUGAAUUGCAGAAUUCAGUGAAUCAUCGAAUCUUUGAACGCACAUUGCGCCCUUUGGUAUUCCAAAGGGCAUGCCUGUUCGAGCGUCAUUUGUACCUUCAAGCUUUGCUUGGUGUUGGGCGUUUUUUGUCUCCCUCUUUCUGGGAGACUCGCCUUAAAACGAUUGGCAGCCGGCCUACUGGUUUCGGAGCGCAGCACAUAUUUUGCGCUUUGUAUCAGGAGAAAAGGACGGUAAUCCAUCAAGACUUCUACAUUUUUAACUUUUGACCUCGGAUCAGGUAGGGAUACCCGCUGAACUUAAGCAUAUCAAUAAGCGGAGGA